AAACCAACAGGGAUUGCCUUAGUAGCGGCGAGUGAAGCGGCAAAAGCUCAAAUUUGAAAUCUGGCACCUUCGGUGUCCGAGUUGUAAUUUGAAGAUUGUAACCUUGGGGUUGGCUCUUGUCUAUGUUUCUUGGAACAGGACGUCACAGAGGGUGAGAAUCCCGUGCGAUGAGAUGCCCAAUCCUAUGUAAGGUGCUUUCGAAGAGUCGAGUUGUUUGGGAAUGCAGCUCUAAGUGGGUGGUAAAUUCCAUCUAAAGCUAAAUAUUGGCGAGAGACCGAUAGCGAACAAGUACAGUGAUGGAAAGAUGAAAAGAACUUUGAAAAGAGAGUGAAAAAGUACGUGAAAUUGUUGAAAGGGAAGGGUUUGAGAUCAGACUCGAUAUUUUGUGAGCCUUGCCUUCGUGGCGGGGUGACCCGCAGCUUAUCGGGCCAGCAUCGGUUUGGGCGGUAGGAUAAUGGCGUAGGAAUGUGACUUUGCUUCGGUGAAGUGUUAUAGCCUGCGUUGAUGCUGCCUGCCUAGACCGAGGACUGCGAUUUUAUCAAGGAUGCUGGCAUAAUGAUCCCAAACCGCC
This 571-nucleotide ribosomal RNA is filed under the name Meyerozyma caribbica. RNAcentral describes it as "LSU rRNA". It matches the Rfam family "Eukaryotic large subunit ribosomal RNA", at positions 62 to 649 of the family's 3401-position model. The record is from RNAcentral. Lineage: Eukaryota; Fungi; Ascomycota; Pichiomycetes; Serinales; Debaryomycetaceae.